Y RNA from Pongo abelii (Sumatran orangutan), 102 nucleotides. It matches the Rfam family "Y RNA". From Rfam's summary of the family: Y RNAs are components of the Ro ribonucleoprotein particle (Ro RNP), in association with Ro60 and La proteins. The Y RNAs and Ro60 and La proteins are well conserved, but the function of the Ro RNP is not known. Lineage: Eukaryota; Metazoa; Chordata; Mammalia; Primates; Hominidae. The record is from Ensembl.
GGCUGGUCUGAGUGCAAUGGCAUUUAGGACUAAUUGAUCACAACCAGUUACAGAUUUCUUUGUUCCUUCUUCACUCCCACUGCUUCACUCCGCUAGCCAGAA